GGACAGCGUCCCGAUCUAUUCCAAGAUUGAUUUCCAUUUCAUCCUCAGCUUCGCCGUCGAUGCCAACAGCAACGGAGAGCCCCAGAACGGCAUCUUCUACCCCUACUGGCCCGCCUCCAUCACCCCAGCAUCCGUUCGCACCAUUAAGACCCGCCACCGUAACGUUAAAGUACUUGCCAGCAUCUUCGGGAACACCGUCUUUAAAUGGUACAACCCCGGCCAACCUGAAGUCUGGAUCACCAACGCAUUCAAUUCCAUCAAGUCAAUGGUAAAUCGCUACCACC
This 284-nucleotide unclassified non-coding RNA is filed under the name Hevea brasiliensis (rubber tree). Lineage: Eukaryota; Viridiplantae; Streptophyta; Magnoliopsida; Malpighiales; Euphorbiaceae. The record is from RNAcentral.